RNAcentral lists this long non-coding RNA (674 nucleotides) under Mus spicilegus (steppe mouse). RNAcentral's name for it is "lncRNA (ENSMSIG00000023012.1)". The record is from RNAcentral. Lineage: Eukaryota; Metazoa; Chordata; Mammalia; Rodentia; Muridae.
CUGACGUCAUGUGAUCAAGGUCAGGAUCUAGAGGUGUGGAUGCCAGUCAGGGCUCCGGUACUGCAGUCAGCUAUGGGGAGGUGCUCACAACCAUAAGUGCUUCUGGAGCCACAGUGGAAUGAGUCUGGAGGGCUCCACAGGAGUGUCCUGACGUGCAGAAGCUGUGGCCAUCUAGUCCUGGGGCUUCUCUCUGACCCAUGUGUUAUUUUCAGAACUUUCUGCUAAUUCCCAAGAUGCUUCAGAGCUGUCUGCAGCCCUGAUUUCCCCCAAACGCACUGGAGACAGAACUCUCCACAAAGUAAAGACAAGAGGCCUUACUUUCAGGCAGACUGGAUUACAACCUCUGACCUGCUGCUUCUAAACUGUAUAACGUUGGAGCAAACCUCAGUUAGGUGCCAGUGAGAAGACCCAGGACGCAAGGGGAGAUCACCAAGGAGUAGGACCAGUUCUCCACAGACCACCACCCUGAGUUCUAGGAGACAUAAUGUUGGAUGGGGACGUACUCCAGAAGACGGGCCACUUGGCCACAGCAGCUCUGAGGGAACACUAGCAUUGGCACUUGGGCAAGGCUUCCGAGCCACCCUGGGUUCCUGAGUUUUUCUCACUGUGGAACUUGAGACAGCAAGGCUAGGAAGUGUGACCUGAUCCUGUGGCUCACACUACAGUGCUGAGGG